CACGUAGGGGGCAAGCGUUGUCCGGAUUCAUUGGGCGUAAAGAGCUCGUAGGCGGCUCGGUAAGUCGGGUGUGAAACCUCUGGGCUCAACCCAGAGACGCCACCCGAUACUGCCAUGGCUAGAGUCCAGCAGGGGAGCGUGGAAUUCCCGGUGUAGCGGUGAAAUGCGCAGAUAUCGGGAGGAACACCAGCGGCGAAGGCGGCGCUCUGGGCUGGUACUGACGCUGAGGAGCGAAAGCGUGGGUAGCGAACAGG
RNAcentral lists this ribosomal RNA (254 nucleotides) under uncultured bacterium. RNAcentral describes it as "partial 16S ribosomal RNA". It matches the Rfam family "Bacterial small subunit ribosomal RNA", at positions 524 to 776 of the family's 1533-position model. The record is from RNAcentral.